GCUGCGGGUUGGGUUUAAUCUCGGUCAGGCGAAGUGCACCCGGCUUUCCCGCGGCGAGCUGUGCGCCGCCCGGGGGACGGUUCUCCUGCCACUCUGCCCCGCCACUGAGAGUUACUGGGGCCGCGCUGGACGGAGCACAGCGGGGCGCGACCGCCGCUGGGGCGGAGUCCCGAGACGGCCUAGAGGUGGCUCCUCCUGGCCUGCGGUUCCUGCCUAGCUCCUCCGCCCCCGGGAGCUGGGCCGGAGAUUUGAAUUGAUGAGUGUGCAGGUUCAAGGCUGCACCUUUCCUGGUCACCUCUAAACUGUCCAGCCUAGUGGUUUUGGCGGACAUGGCCUCCUCUCUCCUUCCUCCAUUCAGGCAGACGUGCGACAGGGGAGACAUGCUACAGAGUGGAGGCUAAAUGUUGACGAGUAUUUCCGGCUUCUUCCUAAUGACAGUAAUUUGAAUCUCAAGUAUGGAAACAGAAGGAUACGACAUCUAUCCCAUUGGAGGCUCCCUGAAGGGGCUGCCUAUUAACUCUGCCUACACGGACUCCUCGGGUACCCUUAUUCCUCGUCCUUCUGGGCCUGCCAGGUCAGAUUCUGUAAAUUCCGUAAGCUUUCCCAUAUCAUUCCAAUGAGGUCUUUUAAAGGUCAGUUUCUGUUGCUGGCGACCCAAGAACUCUGUACAAAAAAAAGUUCCUGGAAAAUGCGGGAUUCGAGUCUUGCAUGAAUAGCUGGGAAGGAUGAGAAGCUUAUUCCAGGUGAGGAAGACGUUACCCGCAGAGGCUCUCAAGAACUUUCCUUGGCCUGGCUCAAGAGGAGACUUCAAGGAAGUGUGAGAAAUCAGAUGGAAGAUGUGGGGUGGAGCUAGAGUAGGAAAGUCCUCUCCUGCUUAUCUAGAGGGUGCACAGCCUGUCUCCUACAGCAGAGGUUUUUGUGAUGUUGGACACUCGUCUGGGCCACAGUGAGAGCGGCAGAUGGAGUUAAAGCCAGCCAACAGCCGAAAGAGACGUGGGCAGGAUGGGCCAAGGAAGUGACCUGUGCUAGGAAGUUAUCAUCCACUUGGUGAGCUGAGGCAGCAAAGAGUUAGGAACAAUUACUGAAGAGAAACAAGAGCUACAGAAGGGGCAGGACAAGAGAAUGCAGUGAUUGUAGAGAAUCAAAUGGACCGUUGCGUCAGUCUGCCUGGAUUUGACUCGUAGCUCCAUCACUGACUUUAGAUGAUUGAUUUCCUUACCCUGAAGUGCUCCCUACCUCAGCUUAAUUUAGUGGCUUAUAAAAAACAAACACUCAAUAA
Pteropus alecto (black flying fox) is the source of this 1279-nucleotide long non-coding RNA. RefSeq lists it as uncharacterized. Lineage: Eukaryota; Metazoa; Chordata; Mammalia; Chiroptera; Pteropodidae. The transcript has 3 exons. The record is from RefSeq and is a predicted model, not a curated record.